AGAAUCAACGCUGGCGGCGUGCCUAACACAUGCAAGUCGAACGAGAAGGGGGAGCAAUCCCUGAGUAUAGUGGCGCACGGGUGAGUAACACGUGAAUAAUCUACCUCCGAGUGGGGAAUAACUGAGAGAAAUCUUAGCUAAUACCGCAUAACACUUACGAGUCAAAGCAGCAAUGCGCUUGGAGAGGAGUUUCGCGGCCGAUUAGUUAGUUGGCGGGGUAAUGGCCCACCAAGACGAUGAUCGGUA
RNAcentral lists this ribosomal RNA (246 nucleotides) under uncultured bacterium. RNAcentral describes it as "partial small subunit ribosomal RNA". It matches the Rfam family "Bacterial small subunit ribosomal RNA", at positions 26 to 285 of the family's 1533-position model. The record is from RNAcentral.